UUACACAAUAACAAGGCGGGCUGGACACCCCCAGCCGGGCACUGCUUCACGGCGUGCGCGGCUGGGCCGGCCCUGCUGAAUUAUUCACCCGUGUCUUUUGCGUACUUCUUGUUUCCUGGGUGGGCUCGCCCGCCAUCAGGACCAACCACAAACCUUUUGCAAUAGCAAUCAGCGUCAGUAACAACGUAAUUAAUUACAACUUUCAACAACGGAUCUCUUGGUUCUGGCAUCGAUGAAGAACGCAGCGAAAUGCGAUACGUAGUGUGAAUUGCAGAAUUCAGUGAAUCAUCGAAUCUUUGAACGCACAUUGCGCCCUUUGGUAUUCCAAAGGGCAUGCCUGUUCGAGCGUCAUUUGUACCCUCAAGCUUUGCUUGGUGUUGGGCGUCUUUUGUCUCCAGUUCGCUGGAGACUCGCCUUAAAGUCAUUGGCAGCCGGCCUACUGGUUUCGGAGCGCAGCACAAGUCGCGCUCUUUGCCAGCCAAGGUCAGCGUCCAGCAAGCCUUUUUUUUCAACCUUUGACCUCGGAUCAGGUAGGGAUACCCGCUGAACUUAAGCAUAUCAAUAA
Molecule: unclassified non-coding RNA, 565 nt
Filed under: Alternaria anthropophila
Lineage: Eukaryota; Fungi; Ascomycota; Dothideomycetes; Pleosporales; Pleosporaceae
Description: Alternaria sp. 11 II 2018 sequence contains 18S rRNA gene, ITS1, 5.8S rRNA gene, ITS2
Rfam family: 5.8S ribosomal RNA (bases 198-351)
Source: RNAcentral